RNAcentral lists this unclassified non-coding RNA (253 nucleotides) under uncultured Pirellulaceae bacterium. RNAcentral's name for it is "contains 16S-23S intergenic spacer region". It matches the Rfam family "Bacterial small subunit ribosomal RNA", at positions 524 to 776 of the family's 1533-position model. Lineage: Bacteria; Pseudomonadati; Planctomycetota; Planctomycetia; Pirellulales; Pirellulaceae. The record is from RNAcentral.
GACGAACCGUCCAAACGUUAUUCGGUAUCACUGGGCUUAAAGAGUUCGUAGGCGGCCUAGCAGGUCAGGUGUGAAAUCCCACAGCUCAACUGUGGAACUGCGCUUGAAACCGCAAGGCUCGAGGGAGAUAGAGGUGAGCGGAACAGAUGGUGGAGCGGUGAAAGGCGUUGAUAUCAUCUGGAACACCGGUGGCGAAAGCGGCUCACUGGAUCUCUUCUGACGCUGAGGAACGAAAGCUAGGGUAGCAAACAGG